RNAcentral lists this ribosomal RNA (492 nucleotides) under uncultured bacterium. Its description in RNAcentral is "partial 16S ribosomal RNA". It matches the Rfam family "Bacterial small subunit ribosomal RNA", at positions 29 to 507 of the family's 1533-position model. The record is from RNAcentral.
AGUGAACGCUGGCGGUAUGCCUAACACAUGCAAGUCGAACGGCAGCACAGUAAGAGCUUGCUCUUACGGGUGGCGAGUGGCGGACGGGUGAGGAAUACAUCGGAAUCUACUUUUUCGUGGGGGAUAACGUAGGGAAACUUACGCUAAUACCGCAUACGACCUACGGGUGAAAGCAGUGGAUCUUCGGACCUUGCGCGAUUGAAUUAGCCGAUGUCGGAUUAGCUAGUUGGCAGGGUAAAGGCCCACCAAGGCGACGAUCCGUAGCUGGUCUGAGAGGAUGAUCGGCCACACUGGAACUGAGACACGGUCCAGACUCCUACGGGAGGCAGCAGUGGGGAAUAUUGGACAAUGGGCGAAAGCCUGAUCCAGCAAUACCGCGUGGGUGAAGAAGGCCUUCGGGUUGUAAAGCCCUUUUGUUGGGAAAGAAAAGCAGCAGGUUAAUACCCCGCUGUUCUGACGGUACCCAAAGAAUAAGCACCGGCUAACUUCGUG